RNAcentral lists this non-coding RNA (89 nucleotides) under Streptomyces sp. NWU49. RNAcentral's name for it is "Streptomyces RNA 3202". It matches the Rfam family "Streptomyces RNA 3202". Rfam says of the family: Identified by deep sequencing of transcriptome at the end of exponential growth phase. Lineage: Bacteria; Bacillati; Actinomycetota; Actinomycetes; Kitasatosporales; Streptomycetaceae. The record is from Rfam by way of RNAcentral.
CCACGUCCCGACGCACAACCCCCCCGGCGCCGGGACUUCCCAGAGCCGGGCUCGGCGCCCUCCCCCCGGGCGCCGGGCCCGGCUCCCUU